This 490-nucleotide ribosomal RNA is filed under the name uncultured bacterium. RNAcentral describes it as "bacterial SSU rRNA". It matches the Rfam family "Bacterial small subunit ribosomal RNA", at positions 30 to 513 of the family's 1533-position model. The record is from RNAcentral.
AUUGAACGCUGGCGGCAUGCCUUACACAUGCAAGUCGAACGGCAGCGCGGGGCAACCUGGCGGCGAGUGGCGAACGGGUGAGUAAUAUAUCGGAACAUACCCUAGAGUGGGGGAUAACGUAGCGAAAGUUACGCUAAUACCGCAUACGCACUAAGGUGGAAAGUGGGGGAUUCGCAAGAACCUCAUGCUCAUGGAGUGGCCGAUAUCUGAUUAGCUAGUUGGUGAGGUAAAGGCUCACCAAGGCAACGAUCAGUAGCUGGUUUGAGAGAACGACCAGCCACACUGGAACUGAGACACGGUCCAGACUCCUACGGAGGCAGCAGUGGGGAAUAUUGGACAAUGGGCGCAAGCCUGAUCCAGCCAUGCCGCGUGUGUGAAGAAGGCCUUAGGGUUGUAAAGCACUUUCAGUGGGGAGAAAGGGUCAUUCACCUAAUACGUGAGUGAAUUGAUGUUACCCACAGAAGAAGCACCGGCUAACUCCGUGCCAGCA